UACGUAGGUGGCGAGCGUUGUCCGGAUUUACUGGGCGUAAAGGGAGCGUAGGCGGACUUUUAAGUGAGGUGUGAAAUACUCGGGCUCAACUUGAGUGCUGCAUUUCAAACUGGAAGUCUAGAGUGCAGGAGAGGAGAAUGGUAUUCCUAGUGUAGCGGUGAAAUGCGUAGAGAUUAGGAAGAACACCAGUGGCGAAGGCGAUUCUCUGGACUGUGACUGACGCUGAGGCUCGAAAGCGUGGGGAGCAAACAGG
RNAcentral lists this ribosomal RNA (253 nucleotides) under uncultured bacterium. RNAcentral's name for it is "partial 16S ribosomal RNA". It matches the Rfam family "Bacterial small subunit ribosomal RNA", at positions 524 to 776 of the family's 1533-position model. The record is from RNAcentral.